CGAAGUAGUGGAGAGGAGGAAGGUGGAAUGAUUGGAGAGGAGAGGGGGAAGGAUGAAUGGAAGGAGUGGAGAGGAGGAAGGUGGAAGGGAAGGAGUGGAGAGGAGGAAGGUGGAAGGGAAGGAGUGGAGAUGAGGAAGGAUGAAGGGAAGGAGUGGAGAGGAGGAAGGUGGAAGGAAAGGAGUAGAGAGGAGAGGAGGAAGGUGGAAGGGAAGUAGUGGAGAGGGGGAAGGAGGUAGGGAAGGAGUGGAGAUGAGGAAGGUGAAAGGCAAGGAGUGGAGAGAGGAAGGUGGAAGGGAAGUAGUGG
This is a long non-coding RNA of Oncorhynchus tshawytscha (Chinook salmon), 305 nucleotides long. The record is from Ensembl. NCBI's taxonomy places the organism in Eukaryota, Metazoa, Chordata, Actinopteri, Salmoniformes, Salmonidae.